Molecule: long non-coding RNA, 2378 nt
Filed under: Pelobates cultripes (western spadefoot toad)
Lineage: Eukaryota; Metazoa; Chordata; Amphibia; Anura; Pelobatidae
Source: RNAcentral
AUCGGACGAAUCCCCAUGGGCACGUGCCCGUUUCCCAGUUCUGGACGAUUUUGCCCGGCCAGGGGCUCUAGUGCGCGGUGGUAUCGCGCCAUCUUUGACAGCCUGAAGCGUGUCAUUCGAUGCAGGCUGAACCUGCAGUUCUGGAGGGGAGGUUACAUGUCUGCUUUUUGCUAACGCCUUACGUCCCGGUUGAGCCACGUUAGUGGGAACCGGGUUGCGUGUGUUCUGCAUGCCACUAGUCUGUGUCUGUAUCAAUGCCUCUGUUAUAGACUGAGUGAUAGAGGACGACAUGACCCCCAUCGCAGAGGUCAAAGCUUUGUUAAUGGAUUGUGCCAUGGUAACGUCCAGGAGGGACUGAAACUCCUCAGAUGCCAUGAGGCUGGCGUCACUUUUACUUCCCUUGUUAGAGGGGGAAACGCCUGAUGUGGGGCACAUGGACCCUGAAGGUCUGUCACUCUGGUCCUGCAUAGCAGUUAAAAUCUUUACAGGGAAUAUAUACCCUAGUUCAACUAGUGGAAAUAUUAGGCCAGUAAAAUCCACUUAUACACUUGGUAUCAGUUAAAAGUACUGGCAGAGUGUUUUAAUCUGUAAAGGAAUUAGCUUAGGAAAAGUUAGCAAAGAAAAUGGUGUCAGGAUAGAUUAAUCCUCCACACCACACUUACAGUUUAGUAGACAAACAAAACCGAAAUAUACACUGCAAUUAUAGCCCAGUCUGGGUCCUAGGAGAGUGCUUGUGCGGGUAGGAGAAGCCGGUAGAAGGUUUAUUCAGCAAAUUCCCGCCGAAAUCGCGCUUAAAAUGGCCGCCGCGAGUGUAAACUUACACUCCCGGCGAUAUAAACCAAAAAGAUGGCCGCCGCGCUAUCAACUGCGCAUGCGCGACCGGGCCGCAAGUGGAAAAAUAAAUUCAGUGGCCGCGCAUGCGCGGCCUGCCGCAAAACAGCGGAAAUACCACGGACGUAAACCGAAGGUGCCAAGCACCAGAAGCCAGGUAAGUAGCCCCAGUCACCCAACAGAGAACCAACAUGUGGGGCAGGGAGAAAUAACUCCCCUGAAGCAGUUAGGCAGCACUCUCCUAACACCAGAAGGGCAUAAAACAGAAGUAACACAGAAUGACAUAAUACUAACUUGUAAUAAUAUCAUCUAAGAAUCAUUCAAUUAAUGUGCAGUAAUUAAAUACAACUAAAUGUAUAAAAUUUACAAGAGAAACAAAAUGAGGUAUUUAACUUGUCUGAGGGAGCAGCAAGAAAGAGGAGGAGUCAAUGAGCACUACACCUAUAUGGAUUAUACUGGAUGCUGAUUGGUGCUACUGUUACCAGGAUACUGUUAUGGUUUUCUUUUUUCUAUGAUUCUCUCAUACUUCCCUCUUCUUGCUGCUGGGAGUAUAAUAAAGAAAGAGAAUGCAUAAUAGGAGCCUCCGUGUCUUUAAUAAAAUCUAUAUGUUCUUACCAUAUUUCCAUGGCAACAUUAUUUCAGUUUUACUAUGGUUUAAUGUAGACCCAUACAAUCCAUCCCUGCAACAUGAAGGCCUUUUAAUUUUACUCAGCUCUGCCCACCCUGGUUCCUUCUAACUAUAUAGCAUGCACCUCCAGCUGUUCGGAACCACACCAAUCACCUCCCUAUUACCUUUACAUGUUAUCAGCUGCUGCAGUUAUACCAUUAACUCUUUCUCUGCCAUCACAUACAAAUUUCUCUGCUACCUCUUUGUCUCAUACCCCCAUUUCAACCUUUAGAUUGUAAACUCACAAGGGCCCUCUACCUGUUGUAUCAGUCUGUUCUUAUUGUGUUUGUUUUUUUCCCAUUUGUACAGCGCUGUGGAAUUUGGCGCUUUAUAAAUGCCAGUUAUAAUAAUAAUACUAAUAAUAAUAAUAAUAAUGUGCCUUUUCUUGAGAACAUAUCUGGGAUGUUUAAUUGUGGAAGAAAGGUGUUAGCAGAAUGGAUUUGUUUUGGUUUUUACAAAUAGAGGUUUAUGUUGUUGUCUUCUGUGUGGGUACUUAGAUGGAUGGCAGACCUACAAAUUAUCUUGUUUCAUGUAUUCCUUACUGGGGCAUAUAGUGUCUUUUUAUGUUAAUUGUGUUUAGGACAGCGAAUGCAAGCUUGUUUUGAGAAUUGCCAUUCCUACAUUUCCCACUAGGUGUCACCAUUUCCCUGUGUAGAACAAUUAUUUUUAUAAAAUAAAUGCAGACAGCCUUUACAUCCCCACUGGACACAGAAUGAAGCAAACUGCAUUUGAUCUGUUCAGAUUAUUGGGCUGGCUACCAAUGCAGCAGAAUUUGCAAUUAUUACAUCCGAAAACAAUUUGCAGCAUCAGCAAGGCCUUAAGGCCUUUAGCUCAAGCUUUCAUUGUGCUGUGGCGGCACCCUAUUUCAUGCGUUUGUUCU